CCAGCUGGGAUCUCAGGGCUUCCUUUCCUGUCCUCCUCCAGGAUGGGGUCAACCACCGUCCUCGCCCUUCUCAUGGCUGUUCUCCAAGGUGUCUGUGCUGAGGUGCAGCUGGUGCAGUCUGGAGCAGAGGUGAAAAGGCCCGGGGAGUCGGUGAAGAUCUCCUGUAGGGCUUCUGGAUACAGCUUUAACAACCACUGGAUGAGCUGGGUGCGACAGAUGCCUGGGAAAGGCCUGGAGUGGAUGGGGAUGAUCUAUCCUGGUGACUCUGAUACCAGAUACAGCCCGUCCUUCCAAGGCCACGUCACCAUCUCAGCCGACAAGUCCAGCAACACCGCCUACCUGCAGUGGAGCAGCCUGAAGGCCUCGGACGCUGCCAUGUAUUACUGUGCGAGAGACACAGUGUGAGAAACCAGCACUGGGCCCAUCUAAAACCCUCCACAGAGCAGGUGCAGAGGGAGCUGCCAGAGACACCCUCCCCAGGGCCCUCUCCAUUCCCCCCAGGGAGGAAUCGCUGGCUGUUUGUAUCCUCAGGAGCGAGAACCAGAGAACAGCAUGGGAGGAUUCCCAGCCCCUACGGCAACUGGAUGGGGGACCUCUCCUGGGAGUGGAUUCUCUGAGGGGCUCCCACUGUGUGUUCUAAAAGGUUGUUCAUGGCUUAUAUUACACAGUUAACAUCAAAAGCCUGCCCAAUAGGCAGCUGUCAAAUAUGACAGUCUUUUAAUUCAUGAAGAUUUUACAGUUAACCAUUGCUGGCUUGCUCUUCUCCCUCCUGUCCUCUCUCACACCCGCCUUUUAUUUCCUGCUCAAUUUUCCAGAAUCGUUUAAUCCCUUUGUGAACUAUUAGUCGGUCCUUUUUCUUUUUGGUUGUUUUUGUUGUCGUUUCCUCUCAAUAAUGUGUAAUGAACAGUUCAUUUUGUGCCAUUUCAAGUUUUUGGGUAUAAUAAGGACUUCUUUCAUGAAAAUUUGAUAAAUU
This is a non-coding RNA of Callithrix jacchus (white-tufted-ear marmoset), 973 nucleotides long. The record is from the annotation of a RefSeq genome assembly. Lineage: Eukaryota; Metazoa; Chordata; Mammalia; Primates; Cebidae.